AGUCUUAAGAUAUUUUAAAUAUGCAUGAGUCGACCAUGGAAAUCUAGAGGAAUGCCAAUGGUACAUCUAUCAUAACAAGCACAAAUAAUAUCUUGACAUAACAAAUAACAAAAAUGAGUGGUGGGUAUCAUUUUCCUUUUAUAAGAAGUCGUAUGUCCUGCAAACUCACUAGUCGGCUUCUACUCGGACAAGUCGAAAUCCCCUUCCCUUCUU
RNAcentral lists this long non-coding RNA (213 nucleotides) under Elaeis guineensis (African oil palm). RNAcentral describes it as "long non-coding RNA (EGUI_LNC026949)". The record is from RNAcentral. Lineage: Eukaryota; Viridiplantae; Streptophyta; Magnoliopsida; Arecales; Arecaceae.